Molecule: long non-coding RNA, 725 nt
Filed under: Phoenix dactylifera (date palm)
Lineage: Eukaryota; Viridiplantae; Streptophyta; Magnoliopsida; Arecales; Arecaceae
Description: long non-coding RNA (PDAC_LNC018610)
Source: RNAcentral
UGGCCACAUAAAUUUCCAAAACCGACCAAUGUUUUGGAUAAGUUUCAGAGAAGAUCCAGACUUUUCAUUUUCGUUUUCAUGUUCCUAAUGGAACUUCACACCAUGAUAUAGACAAAUCACAACCAAGGACAGAUGCAAGGAGAAAAAAAAAGUAGACACAGAAAAUGAAAGAAGGGGAAUGAACAUGGGACUUAUUUUUCAUUUUUUUUCUCUUUGAAAAAAAUCAUCUAACACCAAUAUAGAAGCUCAUUGACUAUGCAAAGUCAAUUUUACUGUUUCUGGUGGUAUUUCACUCAAGAGAAUGGUAAUGAUAGUUCAAUUAUUUUACAAAAAAUGCUGCCAGGGCAAAAUUCUAUCACACUUUACUUGGAAAAUGUGAUGCUAGUAUAAAUUAAAAAAUUAGUACAUGAAACAAGAUAUGUAAGAUUUCAAAUAAACAAUGAAAGAGAAGAAAUCCCCUACCGUCUGUUGAUUGUUCUAUAAUUAACUCUUGUUAACUGCUAGAAGGAUAAUUUAAAUUUGCAGAACUUUACUAACCUGGUAUAACUGCAAAAAUAACAGGCUAAGCUUCAUGAUUGCAAGAUGAUAGGGCUAUUUUGCAUGAAUAACAUGACUGAGGCACAAAGACCUUGGAGGAGCAAACUAACAAUAUGUUCAAUUGUCUUGGAGAUGAAACAAGGAGAUUAUAUGAGCAACCGAACAACUGGAAAUACUGCAGUAGAACU